Molecule: non-coding RNA, 140 nt
Organism: Hyaloscypha sp. PMI_1271
Lineage: Eukaryota; Fungi; Ascomycota; Leotiomycetes; Helotiales; Hyaloscyphaceae
Source: the annotation of a GenBank genome assembly
GUCGCGAUGCCAGAGUGGUUGUGAGUGUAUUCGGCCUUGGAAUGCUUCAAAAACUAACCCGUUCAGAAUGGGUAAGACUUGAAUUAAUUUUCAGUUAUCUUAUGGCUUCGGCCUCGUAGGUUCAAAUCCUGCUCGCGACG